CCUACGGGAGGCAGCAGUAAGGAAUAUUGGUCAAUGGACGCAAGUCUGAACCAGCCAUGCCGCGUGAAGGAUUAAGGCCCUCUGGGUUGUAAACUUCUUUUAUAGGGGACGAAAAAAGGGCAUUCUUGCUCACUUGACGGUACUCUAGGAAUAAGCACCGGCUAACUCCGUGCCAGCAGCCGCGGUAAUACGGAGGGUGCAAGCGUUAUCCGGAUUUACUGGGUUUAAAGGGUGCGUAGGUGGGUUGGUAAGUCAGUGGUGAAAUCUUCGAGCUUAACUCGGAAACUGCCAUUGAUACUAUCAAUCUUGAAUCAUCUAGAGGUAAGCGGAAUAUGUCAUGUAGCGGUGAAAUGCUUAGAUAUGACAUAGAACACCAAUUGCGAAGGCAGCUUACUAUGGAUGUAUUGACACUGAGGCACGAAAGCGUGGGGAUCAAACAGGAUUAGAUACCCUGGUAGUCCACGCCCUAAACGAUGGAUACUCGACAUUUGUGAUAUACCUAUAAGUGUNUGAGNGAAGANAUAAGUAUACCACCGCGGUAAGGUACGACCGCGAGUAGUUAAGUUACGAAGAAGUUAGAGGCGNGAGAGNGCGACGGACGACGACGAGGGAGGAGG
Molecule: ribosomal RNA, 617 nt
Filed under: uncultured bacterium
Lineage: Bacteria
Description: bacterial SSU rRNA
Rfam family: Bacterial small subunit ribosomal RNA (bases 1-535)
Source: RNAcentral